CACGUAGGGUGCAAGCGUUGUCCGGAUUUAUUGGGCGUAAAGGGCUCGUAGGCGGUUCGACAAGUCGGGUGUGAAACCUCCAGGCUCAACCUGGAGUCGCCACUCGAAACUGUUGUGACUAGAGUCCGGUAGGGGAGCAUGGAAUUCCUGGUGUAGCGGUGGAAUGCGCAGAUAUCAGGAGGAACACCAGUGGCGAAGGCGAUGCUCUGGGCCGGUACUGACGCUGAGGAGCGAAAGCUAGGGGAGCAAACGGG
Molecule: ribosomal RNA, 254 nt
Filed under: uncultured bacterium
Lineage: Bacteria
Description: partial 16S ribosomal RNA
Rfam family: Bacterial small subunit ribosomal RNA
Source: RNAcentral